This 459-nucleotide ribosomal RNA is filed under the name uncultured bacterium. Its description in RNAcentral is "partial 16S ribosomal RNA". It matches the Rfam family "Bacterial small subunit ribosomal RNA", at positions 338 to 795 of the family's 1533-position model. The record is from RNAcentral.
CCUACGGGCGGCAGCAGUGAGGAAUAUUGGUCAAUGGUCGGGAGACUGAACCAGCCAAGCCGCGUGAGGGAUGAAGGUACAGAGUAUCGUAAACCUCUUUUGUCAGGGAACAAAGGCGGGGACGUGUCCCCGGAUGAGUGUACCUGAAGAAAAAGCAUCGGCUAACUCCGUGCCAGCAGCCGCGGUAAUACGGAGGAUGCGAGCGUUAUCUGGAUUUAUUGGGUUUAAAGGGUGCGAAGGGGGUAUGUUAAGUCAGCGGUCAAAGCCCGGGGCUCAACCCCGGCCCGCCGUUGAAACUGGCAGUCGCGAGUUGGAGAGAGGUAUGCGGAAUGCGCGGUGUAGCGGUGAAAUGCAUAGAUAUCGCGAAGAACUCCGAUUGCGAAGGCAGCAUGCCGGCUCCACACUGACGCUGAGGCACGAAAGCGUGGGUAUCGAACAGGAUUAGAUACCCUGGUAGUC